Molecule: long non-coding RNA, 314 nt
Filed under: Olea europaea subsp. europaea
Lineage: Eukaryota; Viridiplantae; Streptophyta; Magnoliopsida; Lamiales; Oleaceae
Source: RNAcentral
UCAUCGGCGCCUGAGGAAUAUCUUAGCGGAUGAAUUAGUAUUUGUUGUUCUUGUUUCUUCAGUACCUUCAGUGGUUCCUAUCCCUGUCAUGUUCCUUGGAUUAUUUACAAGUGGUAUUCAAGCUCUUAUUUUUGCAACUUUAGUCGCGGCGAGCCCUACCUCAUUUAUCAUCGAGCGAUCAUUUAAGGGUCUUAGCUGGUGAUCUGGGCUGUUUCCUUCUCGAUGAUGAAGCUUAUCCCCUAUCGUCUCACUGGCCGACCUUAACCCCUGUUAUUUUGAGGUCAUAUCUAGUAUUGAGGAACGUAUUGAGAGAG